UCCUACGGGGCGCAGCAGUAGGGAAUUUUCGUCAAUGGGCGCAAGCCUGAACGAGCGAUGCCGCGUGAGUGAAGAAGGCCUUCGGGUCGUAAAGCUCUGUUGCGGGGGAAAAAAGGCAGCAUCAGGAAAUGGGUGCUGACUGAUGGUGCCCCGCCCGAAAGUCACGGCUAACUACGUGCCAGCAGCCGCGGUAAUACGUAGGUGGCGAGCGGUAUCCGGAAUGAUUGGGCGUAAAGGGUGCGCAGGC
This 247-nucleotide ribosomal RNA is filed under the name uncultured bacterium. RNAcentral's name for it is "partial 16S ribosomal RNA". It matches the Rfam family "Bacterial small subunit ribosomal RNA", at positions 337 to 576 of the family's 1533-position model. The record is from RNAcentral.